This 448-nucleotide ribosomal RNA is filed under the name uncultured bacterium. RNAcentral's name for it is "SSU rRNA". It matches the Rfam family "Bacterial small subunit ribosomal RNA", at positions 26 to 518 of the family's 1533-position model. The record is from RNAcentral.
AGAGCGAACGCUGGCGGCAGGCUUAACACAUGCAAGUCGAGCGGGCGUAGCAAUACGUCAGCGGCGGACGGGUGAGUAACGCGUGGGAACGUACCUUUUGGUUCGGAACAACCCAGGGAAACUUGGGCUAAUACCGGAUAAGCCCUUACGGGGAAAGAUUUAUCGCCAAAAGAUCGGCCCGCGUCUGAUUAGCUAGUUGGUGAGGUAAUGGCUCACCAAGGCGACGAUCAGUAGCUGGUCUGAGAGGAUGAUCAGCCACAUUGGGACUGAGACACGGCCCAAACUCCUACGGGAGGCAGCAGUGGGGAAUAUUGGACAAUGGGCGCAAGCCUGAUCCAGCCAUGCCGCGUGAGUGAUGAAGGCCCUAGGGUUGUAAAGCUCUUUUGUGCGGGAAGAUAAUGACGGUACCGCAAGAAUAAGCCCCGGCUAACUUCGCGCCAGCAGCCGC